RNAcentral lists this ribosomal RNA (529 nucleotides) under Klebsiella pneumoniae. RNAcentral describes it as "partial 23S ribosomal RNA". It matches the Rfam family "Bacterial large subunit ribosomal RNA", at positions 2414 to 2925 of the family's 2925-position model. Lineage: Bacteria; Pseudomonadati; Pseudomonadota; Gammaproteobacteria; Enterobacterales; Enterobacteriaceae. The record is from RNAcentral.
AGUGAUCCGGUGGUUCUGAAUGGAAGGGCCAUCGCUCAACGGAUAAAAGGUACUCCGGGGAUAACAGGCUGAUACCGCCCAAGAGUUCAUAUCGACGGCGGUGUUUGGCACCUCGAUGUCGGCUCAUCACAUCCUGGGGCUGAAGUAGGUCCCAAGGGUAUGGCUGUUCGCCAUUUAAAGUGGUACGCGAGCUGGGUUUAGAACGUCGUGAGACAGUUCGGUCCCUAUCUGCCGUGGGCGCUGGAGAAUUGAGGGGGGCUGCUCCUAGUACGAGAGGACCGGAGUGGACGCAUCACUGGUGUUCGGGUUGUCAUGCCAAUGGCACUGCCCGGUAGCUAAAUGCGGAAGAGAUAAGUGCUGAAAGCAUCUAAGCACGAAACUUGCCCCGAGAUGAGUUCUCCCUGAGACUUUAAGUCUCCUGAAGGAACGUUGAAGACGAUGACGUUGAUAGGCCGGGUGUGUAAGCGCAGCGAUGCGUUGAGCUAACCGGUACUAAUGAACCGUGAGGCUUAACCUUACAACGCCGAAG